UAGGGAAUAUUGCUAAAUGGGCGAAAGCCUGAAGCAGCAACGCCGCGUGAACGAAGAAGGCCUUCGGGUCGUAAAGUUCUUUUGCGUGGGAUGAGGAAGGACAGUACCACGAGAAUAAGUCUCGGCUAACUACGUGCCAGCAGCCGCGGUAAAACGUAGGAGACGAGCGUUAUCCGGAUUUACUGGGCGUAAAGCGCGUGUAGGAGGCAAUACAAGUUGGAUGUGAAAGCUCCCGGCUCAACUGGGAGAGGUCGUUCAAGACUGUAUAGCUAGAGUGGGGCAGAGGUAGAUGGAACUCCGGGAGUAGUGGUGAAAUGCGUAGAUAUCCGGAAGAACACCAGAGGCGAAAGCGAUCUACUGGACCCUGACUGACACUGAGACGCGAAAGCCAGGGUAGCAAACGGG
This 405-nucleotide ribosomal RNA is filed under the name uncultured bacterium. RNAcentral's name for it is "bacterial SSU rRNA". It matches the Rfam family "Bacterial small subunit ribosomal RNA", at positions 355 to 776 of the family's 1533-position model. The record is from RNAcentral.